GACGAACGCUGGCGGCGUGCUUAACACAUGCAAGUCGAACGGAAAGGCCCUGCUUUUGUGGGGUGCUCGAGUGGCGAACGGGUGAGUAACACGUGAGUAACCUGCCCUUGACUUUGGGAUAACUUCAGGAAACUGGGGCUAAUACCGGAUAGGAGCUCCUGCUGCAUGGUGGGGGUUGGAAAGUUUCGGCGGUUGGGGAUGGACUCGCGGCUUAUCAGCUUGUUGGUGGGGUAGUGGCUUACCAAGGCUUUGACGGGUAGCCGGCCUGAGAGGGUGACCGGCAGCGUUGGGACGGAGGGAGGGCCCGGCCCACGCGGGGGGGAGGCGGGGGGAAUUUUGGCAAAGGGGCGGGAGGUGGGAUGCACCACCCCCGUGGGGGGAAGGGUGGCUUCCGGGUGUAAACCCUUUUCCCCCGGGAAAGAAGGGGGAGUGAGGUUAGGGAAUAAAGAAGCCCGGGCAAACUAGGUC
This 468-nucleotide ribosomal RNA is filed under the name uncultured bacterium. RNAcentral describes it as "partial 16S ribosomal RNA". It matches the Rfam family "Bacterial small subunit ribosomal RNA", at positions 28 to 507 of the family's 1533-position model. The record is from RNAcentral.